GACGAACGCUGGCGGCGUGCUUAACACAUGCAAGUCGAACGGAAAGGCCCUGCUUUUGUGGGGUGCUCGAGUGGCGAACGGGUGAGUAACACGUGAGUAACCUGCCCUUGACUUUGGGAUAACUUCAGGAAACUGGGGCUAAUACCGGAUAGGAGCUCCUGCUGCAUGGUGGGGGUUGGAAAGUUUCGGCGGUUGGGGAUGGACUCGCGGCUUAUCAGCUUGUUGGUGGGGUAGUGGCUUACCAAGGCUUUGACGGGUAGCCGGCCUGAGAGGGUGACCGGCCACAUUGGGACUAAGAUACGGACCAGACUCCUACGGGAGGCAGCAGUGGGAAAUAUUGCACAGUGGGCGGAAGCCUGAUGCAGCAACGCCGCGUGCGGGAUGACGGCCUUCGGGUUGUAAACCGCUUUCGCCUGUGACGAAGCGUGAGUGACGGUAAUGGGUAAAGAAGCACCGGCCAACUACGUG
RNAcentral lists this ribosomal RNA (468 nucleotides) under uncultured bacterium. RNAcentral's name for it is "partial 16S ribosomal RNA". It matches the Rfam family "Bacterial small subunit ribosomal RNA", at positions 28 to 507 of the family's 1533-position model. The record is from RNAcentral.